Pelobates cultripes (western spadefoot toad) is the source of this 257-nucleotide non-coding RNA. Lineage: Eukaryota; Metazoa; Chordata; Amphibia; Anura; Pelobatidae. The record is from the annotation of a GenBank genome assembly.
GUUACUGAUUGCACAAGGUUGGAAUUCCUGUUGGUAAUUAUAAGGCAUUUGAUUUGAUUAAGCUAGUUACUUGCUAUUGAUUGCUGGUUAAUUAGCUAUUGUUUGCAAAUAAGCAGAGGCCUACCCAGGUGUUAAACAUUCCUAGUGGGUGGUGAUUUUAGGAGUUAUAUAAGGCUUGGUGUCAUUAGCUUGUCUAAUAUAGCUUGGUGCUACUUCUAAGUGCUGUUUCUAAGUGUGUAGUUGGAGAUAUUCUGGAG